CUUCACCGACCCCAGCAGCAGCGGCCGGUCCUCGGGCCGCUCCUGGCCGUACGUGGCCAGGAGUGCCUGCGCCUC
RNAcentral lists this antisense RNA (75 nucleotides) under Streptomyces griseoflavus. RNAcentral describes it as "ASpks sRNA". It matches the Rfam family "ASpks TB sRNA". The record is from RNAcentral. Lineage: Bacteria; Bacillati; Actinomycetota; Actinomycetes; Kitasatosporales; Streptomycetaceae.